RNAcentral lists this unclassified non-coding RNA (519 nucleotides) under Hevea brasiliensis (rubber tree). The record is from RNAcentral. Lineage: Eukaryota; Viridiplantae; Streptophyta; Magnoliopsida; Malpighiales; Euphorbiaceae.
CAAAUCAAAUGCAUCAAAAUCCCUGAUUUCAGCACGAUAAUGUUCAAUAUCAGUGCAGCUUUUUGCAUAUUCUUCGAUGGCACCAAUAUCAACACUAAAAUAUUCAAGGUCAGAGUCUUGUUGCAAGCAAAAGAUGGUUUUUACUCCUAUUUUCCGAAGCUUGUCGACGUCUGAUGGGUUCUGUAGGCAGGAGCCAACGAUUAAGUCUGGACGAAUAAAAUUGUAAUUCAUUCCUAGUUCAUGCUUGUAUGUCAACACUGCACCCAUUGCUUCUGUCAUAUUAGUACUGUAUGUUUCAGAUUUCUCUUCCUGUAUAUCAGUACCGUGCUUUUCAAUGCUAGAAGAACCGGACUGUACAUUGACGAUCAUCGCUGGACGCCGAAUCGCUCCAAUCAUCCUCGAGUUCGGGAUUAGGGCUUUUCUUGGCCGGCUCCGGAGGACUUGCGGCGGGAGGAGAGAGGACGGGAGAUUCAGAAUGCAGUUCAUGGCAGGAUUCGGAGGUGGAAUUGUGGAGCGGAG